UAAUAUCAAAAUGAUAAAAUAUUCAAGUAUCAUUGUUUCAACUUUCAACAAUUUAAAGUUUGAUCAUCAAAUGGAUUCUCUAAUGGGGGUUUGAGGCGACGUCCCCAACGGGGUCAAGGGGCAGCACCCCUUGCGGGGGCAGCCUUGGUUCGAACCAGGCUUGUGAACCACGAACCCUGUCCGAACCACAGGCGAACCGGACCUGAACCCAAACCCGGACCGUACUGGACCAGUACUAGGGGUCUAGGGGGCCAAACCCAGUAACUUAGAUUAAUUAUAAGCUCUCAAUAAAUAAAUAUAUUUAUAUUUAAAUAUCCAAACCAACCAUCGCCAUAAUUUAACAUCAAUAAACUAUGUAUAUAAUAAUUAAUUAAUUAAUAAUUUACCUCAACUCAUAUAAUCAACCAAACAUGAAAUUAAAUAAAACACCAUGUAUCAACUAGCAAGACAAUUCUAGCCAAAACACUAGGAUUGACAAGACCAACUAAGCCUAGAGUGUGAUGAGACUUCAUGUCACCUUCGAUCAACUUGCCAUUGGGAUUAGAGACACACUUAGACUUGUGAAACCAGGUGGAGUCGAUGUCUAGUACCUGCAUUCUACAAAACACCAAACGUCUCUACAACAACAUAUACAUUUGCAGAUAACAUUAAACAAUCACAUAAAACAAUCAAAUAGGUGAAGGAGAAUCAUGACAUCACACUCUGCUCAUAAAUGAGUGGCAUAACAUCAUCCCUUUCAGGUCCUCAACAAUUAUACAAUCAUGACAAAACAUAGCAUCUACAAUAACCUUAUCAUAUCCAAUAUGAGCACGAAGUAGGAUUAGUACAUAACACAACAUCAUCAUAAACAUAUAUAAACCACAACAUGCAUAUAAUGAGUGCACACAAAUAACCAAACAUAUGUCCCAUCAUCGUAAUAAUCUUGAGUAUAUCAUCAUCCACACAAGACCAUAAUGUAUCAGCUGUCAAGAAGCAAUGUCUAACAUCAACUAAAAGCAUUCGAAAAUAUAAAUAAGCCAUAAGUAUCUAUCAAGAGUAUCAUAAAAGAGUGCAAUAUGGAAGGGUACUACAUAUAUGGUCUCCAAACAUUAGAGUGGGAAAAAUGGGACACCCAUGUGAGGGUUGGGAUAUUGUUUAUUUAUUAUUUAUUCUUCAAAAUACUUACAAUAUUGUGUAAGAAGGCAUUGAAUAGGGAAGUUAGAUUUAAAUGGUCAAAAGUAGGAGUUAUAAAGUAUCUUUUCAUUUUGAAUCAAUGAAUUUUAUGACAAGCAUUGGAUGCCCUCAUGGAGUGCCUAGAUUGAGAAUUCAGUCAAUAUGAUGAUUAUGACCAAAUCUACGAUGUGUAAAAGAGGUGUAAGAGAAGUUAAUUUCUAUUGUGGCUUUCUUGACUAUGACUAUGGGGUGUUGGCUUUUUGGUAGUGGCUCAUGGUUUUGCCUUUUAGUUCUGGGAUACCAUUGGGUGGUUUCUUGUUUUUGAUAUUUCUAUAUGAUGGAGGCAUAGGACAGGUUUGUAAGGUUCUUUUGCCGUUGUUAUGCUGCUGGAUUAUUGUUAGUCGAAGGGAUACAAUUAUUGUUAUGCUUUUGGAUUAUUGUUAGUUAGGAAUAAGCGGAUUUUAUUGUUAUAAUUAAAAAUUUGUAGAAACUUGGGUCUCUUUGGUUGUGGAGUUUCCUACAAGGGUUUCACCAUGUAUGUGUGGUGUUCAUAUGAAUUAUGUAGAUAUGUUUGCUUCUCCAUUGUUUCAUUAAUUUUAAUGGUUUAUCACAUGUUUAAUUGGAUUGAAAUACUUUAUUGUUUGACUUGUAUUCAAGAGAGGAUUGGAUUUGUGGACAUUCCUUGAUUGGUGUGUGAAGGUUAUUGAAAAAUUGUUAUGGCAGCAACUGAGUACAUAUGCAUGAAGAAAAUUCAUAUUGGUAUCUCUUUUUGUAAUCAAGUCUACUGUCGAUCUUUGUCUCUGACAUUCAUUCUCCUUUUGCUAGACCAUGACUAGCUGACGGAUUUAGCUUUGUUGUUCCUAUUCUAGGAAGGGAGUAAAGCCACCUUCCCUAAUGAUUGUUUGGUUUCUUGCCAAUUGCUAUUGAAUAAUGUGUAAUUGAGAGAACACAUUGCCAAAGGUGUAUUCGUUCCGAUCCUUAAUGUGUUUUUAUACAUAUUUUAGCUUAUGAAUUAAUCUGUAUAUUGUUGAGCUCAAAAUAGUUGGAGAUGCUUGACACCCUUGAAAUGCUUUGGUGCCAAAAGCAGGAUGAGAUAGCUACAUGUUGUCAAACUUGAAUACUGAUGACCUCCUAUGGAUAGGUGGCAAGAAUAUGGAUAACAUUAUUGGGCAAUGAUCAGAUGAUGUGAUCUUAUUGAUAUAUGUUUCAAAGCCAAUCCUUUGUAAGGAACAUUAUGUCACACUUGUCAGCAAUUUAUUUGAGUCCCUUCCAACCACAGCACCAAUUAUACUGCCCUUGUAAAAAUUCGAUUUCCAUCAAAAUGGUACUGCUUUCUAGUUGAUGAAGAGCUAUGGUUGUUCUGUGGUUGAAUCCAAGGCUCCCUUUUCUUCAUGAUGGCAUAUGGUGUUAACAUUUCCCAUGAUAAUUAAAUGCAUGGGCUGAGAAAUUAAGAUCCAUUUCACUAACUGUAUGAGCAGCUUAAAUCUUUGAUUUUUUAUUGGGGGAUGUAAAUAUUGAGUACCCAAAAGCAGAGUUGCAGUUCAUACGAGAAGCAUUCUUGCUGCAGGUUCAACGGAAAAAUCUGAGAAAUGUGCAAUUGCCAUUUUGAGGGAUUCCAGUGAAUCAGUCAUUUGGAGACCAGGCAUUGGAUAAUUUGUGUGGAUCCCUUGAUGUUGUGAAAAAUGUUUAGGGUUUUUGUUUGUUUAUGAAUUUCUCAUAAUAGGAGAAGAUAGACUUGUUUAUUCUAGAUCAAAUCCUUGAGAAAUAAAUGUGCGUUUGGGGAGCCUAAUCUCAUUAUGUUCCAAGAUACAAUCUUAAUUGUAAAGAUGGAUCUCACAUGCCAAUCUGUUGCUUAGAUUUUUCAUUUCCUUAUCCUCCUUGAAGGGAGAUAUUGCUCUGUGUUAAUUGCUGGUUUGGAGCCCAAAAUUGUGUUUUAUCCACUGUUUGUUGAAUGCUUGUAUCUUUUUCUAUGAUCAAUCUGUCACUAAUUGAUUUUUUUCUCUUUGACAGUGAGUGAGGAGAUUGACCGCCAAAAUUGAAAUUGAUUGAUUGUAGGAUCCUUUUCUUGUCUGAAAGGAUGGCUUUUGUUUUUGCUAUGAGUUGUCUCUGCAGAAUUAGUAGCUGUAAAAUGUAAUGCUGGAGGGGGAUGGCACUAGACUGACCUGAUGAGAAAGGGGUGUUGGGGAUCAGCUACUAGGGCGGGUGUUGCAUCUGUGAUGUCUAUUUUUUCUGUUGAAACCUUUAAAACUAUGUUGCCAGUUUGGGUUUGGAAGUUUGCUGGUUUUUUCCUGUGUUCAGUAUAGCUCUUCCAGAUGUCAAGUUGCUUGACUUUGGUUUCUUCCUCAUUAAUUUCAAAUUGGUUGACGACUAACGAAAUUCCUUGUGGUUUUUUGAACAAUCCAGUUUUUUCUUUGCCCUGUGGUCCCCUUUCUUUGAUCCGUCCACUGCUGUUAUCACUUCCAUUCCAAUAUGGAUUUGUUUGUACAAUCGUCCGUUGAUCAUGCAUGAUACAGAUCUCAUAAAAAAUAUGAUUGAUCAGGUGGGGAGUUCUGUUAUCUGGGAUCAUGAUUUGGUGGCACCUACUUGCAGAUUCAUCAGGGUGUGCACCAUGAUAGAUAUUUCAAAACCAAUUUUUCUAUUUCAUCAGAAUCCAUUCCUCUUUUGGCACUUGGAGACAAUUUUUGAAUUAUGAAGGUUUCCUUCUCAGUUGCUUCCUCUACAACGUGUUGGGACACAAAAUCGCUGGUUGCUCCGCUCAGAUUUCACACUCAAAGAUGAUAAAACUUAAAAAAAUCUUUAAGAAUCUUUGGACUAACAUAUGCACCCAUGCAUUGUAGAUGAAGCCUUUUGUUUUUUAGAGAGAACAAUUUUUGCUCUGUUUAAAUGGGUGAUGACCUUAGCACUCUUCAAGACUAGUACACAGAUUUGUUUGUGUAGGCUCUUGCCAUCAAAGUUAUAUCAUGGGUUGUGAGUUCCUCUUCAUUAGAGAUUUUUUUUCUCAAUAGUGCCAGGUAAACUUUUUAACGUGAUUGGUGGUGUUGGCAUGACACACGCUCUAGUACCAAGUGGAAUGCUUUUGACCCGGAGCUAUGAAAUGGUGAGGUCACAAAUGAGGGAUCUCAAACCCGCAAGCAAUUUGGUUCAGUGAAGGCACAAGCCUGCAAUCACAAUGGUACAGUGGGGGUUUGAAUAUUGAUGGUCACAACAACAACAGCACCACUUAACCAACACACUAUGAGAAGAACCCCUCAUUUGAGAAAAAUGGAGUACACACUCCGUUAUCCAUUUAAUGAAGUGCAAUUAGUUGGUUGCAAAAAGCAUAGAAAAAAUUGUGUAUGUGCUUUCCAAUUUGUAUCUUCUUUCACAUAAGCAAGCUGAUACAAGGAGGCAAUGAGCCAUUGGGAUGUAGCACUUGAGUAGCUCAACUUGGAUGGUUCUAUCACGCAACCUUUUCUACUCUUGUGGUUCUAUCUAACCGAUUGAUGACAUUGAUGCUUUUGAUGAA
Molecule: long non-coding RNA, 4657 nt
Organism: Cryptomeria japonica (Japanese cedar)
Lineage: Eukaryota; Viridiplantae; Streptophyta; Pinopsida; Cupressales; Cupressaceae
Exons: 2
Source: RefSeq, a predicted model, not a curated record